AUUGAACGCUGGCGGCAAGCCUAACACAUGCAAGUCGAACGAGUGGCGGACGGGUGAGUAAUGUCUGGGAAACUGCCUGAUGGAGGGGGAUAACUACUGGAAACGGUAGCUAAUACCGCAUACCAUCGGAUGUGCCCAGAUGGGAUUAGCUAGUAGGUGGGGUAAAGGCUCACCUAGGCGACUAUCCCUAGCUGGUCUGAGAGGAUGACCAGCCACCAUGGAACUGAGAAACGGUCCAGACUCCUACGUGAGGCAGGAGGGGGGAAUAAUGCACAAUGGGCGCAAGCCCGAGGGAGCCAUGCCGCGUGUAUGAAGAAGGCCUUCGGGUUGUAAAGUACUUUCAGCGGGGAGGCGGUACCCGCAGAAGAAGCACCGGCUAACUCCGUGCCAGCAGCCGCGGUAAUAC
Molecule: ribosomal RNA, 406 nt
Filed under: uncultured bacterium
Lineage: Bacteria
Description: partial 16S ribosomal RNA
Rfam family: Bacterial small subunit ribosomal RNA
Source: RNAcentral